AAUAUUGGACAAUGGGCGCAAGCCUGAUCCAGCCAUGCCGCGUGUGUGAAGAAGGCCUUCGGGUUGUAAAGCACUUUUGUACGGGAAGAAAAGCCAUUGGUUAAUACUCCGUGGUCCUGACGGUACCGUAAGCAUAAGCACCGUCUAGCUUCGUGCCAGCGGCCGCGGUAAUACGAAGGGCGCAAGCGUUACCAGGAAUUAGUGGGCGUAAAGCGUGCGUGGGUGGUUUGUUAAGUCUGAUGUGAAAGCCCUGGGCUCAACCUGGGAAUGGCAUUGGAUACUGGCAGUCUAGAAUGCGGUAGAGGGUAGCGGAAUUCCCGGUGUAGCAGUGAAAUGCGUAGAUAUCGGGAGGAACAUCCGUGGCGAAGGCGGCGACCUGGACCAGCACUGACACUGAGGCACGAAAGCGUGGGGAGCAAACAGG
RNAcentral lists this ribosomal RNA (424 nucleotides) under uncultured bacterium. RNAcentral describes it as "partial 16S ribosomal RNA". It matches the Rfam family "Bacterial small subunit ribosomal RNA", at positions 360 to 776 of the family's 1533-position model. The record is from RNAcentral.